CCAUUGCCGGCAUGAGUAGCGAUAAAUCGGGUGAAAAACCCGAUCGCCGUAAGUCCAAGGGUUCCUGGGGAAGGUUAAUCCGCCCAGGGUUAGUCGGACCCUAAGUCGAGGUCGAAAGGCGUAGACGAUGGAAAGCAGGUUAAUAUUCCUGCACUUUAAUACACGCGUUAUUACCGAAGGAGGGACGCAAAGAAGCAAUUGGGACUCCUAUUGGAUGGAGUUGAGUCUGCGUAAGAGGUUUUGUAGGUAAAUCCGCAGAACAUUCUCUGAGACAGAGGACGAGGGCAAUGCCCGCAAAGCCAGUGAGCUUAUGUUGCCGAGAAAAGCUUCGUAGGGAGUUUGUAUUAAAUCCGUACCGUAAACCGACACAGGUGGACGAGGAGAAUAUCCUAAGGCGCUUGAGAUAACUCUAGUUAAGGAACUCUGCAAGCUAGCACCGUAACUUCGGAAGAAGGUGUGCCCAGACUUAUCAUUACCCUCGCGGUAAGAAGUAAUGCUGGGUCGCAGUGAAAUGGGGGUAGCGACUGUUUAACAAAAACACAGGCCUCUGCUAAGUCAAUACGACGAAGUAUAGGGGCUGACGCCUGCCCGGUGCCGGAAGGUUAAAAGGAGCUGUCAACGCAAGUGAAGCAGUGAAUUGAAGCCCCGGUAAACGGCGGCCGUAACAAUAACGGUCCUAAGGUAGCGAAAUUCCUUGUCGGGUGAGUUCCGACCUGCACGAAAGGCGUAACGACUUCCCCACUGUCUCAACUAGGGACUCAGCGAAAUUGAAUUAACUGUGCAAAUGCAGCUUACCCGCGGCAAGACGGAAAGACCCUAUGAACCUUUACUAUAACUUGGCCCUGAAACCCGAAUUUAUCUGUGUAGAAUAGGUGGGAGACUUUGAAGCUUAGGCGCUAGCUUAGGCUGAGUCGAAAAGUGAAAUACCACCCUGAUGAAUUUGUGUUUCUAACCCAGUCCCGUAAUCCGGGACGGGGACACGGUCUGGUGGGUAGUUUGACUGGGGCGGUCGCCUCCCAAAUUGUAACGGAGGCGCACAAAGGUCCCCUCAGCCUGGACGGAAAUCAGGCGUCGAGUGUAUAGGCACAAGGGGGCUUGACUGUGAGACCAACGAGUCGAGCAGGUGCGAAAGCAGGUCUAAGUGAUCCGGUGGUACCGAAUGGAAGGGCCAUCGCUCAACGGAUAAAAGGUACUCUAGGAUAACAGGCUUAUCCCGCCCAAGAGUUCACAUCGACGGCGGGGUUUGGCACCUCGAUGUCGGCUCAUCACAUCCUGGGGCUGUAGUAGGUCCCAAGGGUUCGGCUGUUCGCCGAUUAAAGUGGUACGCGAGCUGGGUUCAGAACGUUAAAAA
This 1351-nucleotide ribosomal RNA is filed under the name metagenome. RNAcentral describes it as "bacterial LSU rRNA". It matches the Rfam family "Bacterial large subunit ribosomal RNA", at positions 1291 to 2625 of the family's 2925-position model. The record is from RNAcentral.